This 28-nucleotide non-coding RNA is filed under the name Homo sapiens (human). Lineage: Eukaryota; Metazoa; Chordata; Mammalia; Primates; Hominidae. The record is from RNAcentral.
UAAGACUGUUUCGCGCUGAUUUCCUAGA